Molecule: ribosomal RNA, 164 nt
Filed under: uncultured bacterium
Lineage: Bacteria
Description: partial 16S rRNA
Rfam family: Bacterial small subunit ribosomal RNA
Source: RNAcentral
UAGGGAAUCUUCCACAAUGGACGAAAGUCUGAUGGAGCAACGCCGCGUGAGUGAAGAAGGUUUUCGGAUCGUAAAGCUCUGUUGUUGGUGAAGAAGGAUAGGAGCAGUAACUGGUUUCCAUUUGACGGUAAUCAACCAGAAAGUCACGGCUAACUACGUGCCAG